RNAcentral lists this ribosomal RNA (253 nucleotides) under uncultured bacterium. RNAcentral describes it as "partial 16S ribosomal RNA". It matches the Rfam family "Bacterial small subunit ribosomal RNA", at positions 524 to 776 of the family's 1533-position model. The record is from RNAcentral.
GACAGAGGUGCCAAGCGUUAGGCGGAAUUACUGGGCUUAAAGCGUGUGUAGGCGGAUCGUUAAGUACCUUGUGAAAUCCCACGGCUCAACCGUGGAACUGCUGGGUAUACUGGCGGUCUUGAGCCACCUAGGGGCAACUGGAACAAGCGGUGGAGCGGUGAAAUGCGUAGAUAUCGCUUGGAACGCCAACGGUGAAAACAGGUUGCUGGGGGUGUGCUGACGCUGAGACACGAAAGCCAGGGGAGCGAACGGG